RNAcentral lists this transfer RNA (67 nucleotides) under Neotetracus sinensis (Shrew gymnure). RNAcentral's name for it is "tRNA-Phe". It matches the Rfam family "tRNA". From Rfam's summary of the family: Transfer RNA (tRNA) molecules are approximately 80 nucleotides in length. Lineage: Eukaryota; Metazoa; Chordata; Mammalia; Eulipotyphla; Erinaceidae. The record is from RNAcentral.
GUUUUUGUAGCUUAAAUUCAAAGCAAGGCACUGAAAAUGCCUAGAUGGGUUUUUUACCCCAAAAACA